RNAcentral lists this ribosomal RNA (258 nucleotides) under uncultured bacterium. Its description in RNAcentral is "partial 16S ribosomal RNA". It matches the Rfam family "Bacterial small subunit ribosomal RNA", at positions 524 to 777 of the family's 1533-position model. The record is from RNAcentral.
UACGUAGGGUGCGAGCGUUGUCCGGAAUUACUGGGCGUAAAGAGCUCGUAGGUGGUUUGUCGCGUUGUUCGUGAAAAACUCACAGCUCAACUGUGGGCGUGCGGGCGAUACGGGCAGACUGGAGUACUGCAGGGGAGACUGGAAUUCCUGGUGUAGCGGUGGAAUGCGCAGAUAUCAGGAGGAACACCGGUGGCGAAGGGCGGGGUCUCUGGGGCCGAUACUGACGUGAGGAGCGAAAGCGUGGGGGAGCGAACAGGA